Non-coding RNA from Plectropomus leopardus (leopard coralgrouper), 349 nucleotides. NCBI's taxonomy places the organism in Eukaryota, Metazoa, Chordata, Actinopteri, Perciformes, Serranidae. The record is from RefSeq and is a predicted model, not a curated record.
ACAUGUGAUAAGCUUUUCUGCAUACAAGCCCAAAGGCUUUCAAGCUAAUCAGAAGGUUUCAUUCAGAUGGCGAGUGGACAGCUGUCGAGGGCGGAGGCGUUAGCGUGCUCAGGCUGCAAGCAUGCGUGCCACGUGAUGCUCUACUGUGACACGAAAUCUAAGCUGUUUGGGAAGUUUCCCAUCAAACAUAUCAUACUGAUGCAGAUGCGCUUUGACGGUCUGCUGGGUUUCCCUGGCGGGUGAGUCUUUCCUGGUGCUGCUGUUGUUUAUUCCUUUUAUGUGCACACAGGUAUGUUUAGUUGAGGUUCGUAUGUCUCUUAUGUCAAAAGAUAUAAAUAAAGCUGCACAG